GAUGAAGAACGCAGCGAAAUGCGAUAAGUAAUGUGAAUUGCAGAAUUCAGUGAAUCAUCGAAUCUUUGAACGCACAUUGCGCCCGGGAGCAUUCUCCCGGGCAUGCCUGUUCGAGCGUCAUUUCAACCCUCGAUUUCCCUUUGGGGAAGUCGGUCGUUGGAGAUCGGCAGCACUGCCGGCUCCCAAAUACAGUGGCGACCCGCCGCGGGGACCCCUGCGUAGUAACUUACACUCGCACCGGAAACCAGACGUGUCACGCCGUAAAACCCCCAACUUUCUGAACGUUGACCUCGGAUCAGGUAGGAAUACCCGCUGAACUUAAGCAUAUCAAUAAGCGGAGGA
This 342-nucleotide unclassified non-coding RNA is filed under the name soil metagenome. RNAcentral's name for it is "partial contains 5.8S ribosomal RNA, internal transcribed spacer 2, and large subunit ribosomal RNA". The stretch from base 1 to 120 matches the Rfam family "5.8S ribosomal RNA", at positions 35 to 154 of the family's 154-position model. The record is from RNAcentral.